This is a long non-coding RNA of Paramisgurnus dabryanus, 1406 nucleotides long. RefSeq lists it as uncharacterized. The record is from RefSeq and is a predicted model, not a curated record. Lineage: Eukaryota; Metazoa; Chordata; Actinopteri; Cypriniformes; Cobitidae.
AGCGUCGGGUGAUUGUUCAUAUCUGUCAUUUAAAAUAAAGUUAAUAAAUGUAAUUCUGUCCACUAUGGCAAAAUAGGAAUUUAUUUUAGAUUUAGGGGAAUCUUUAACCAUGUCUCUGAUUAAAACUUUUGAUUGUAACAUCACAAGUUAUUUAAUUAAAUAUUCUGUAUACGGGUAUAGUUUAAGCAAUGACCUGAGCCAUUACCUUCGGAGCCGUCAAUACUACAUUCUUUAGACGAUAGUCUAAACUAAAUAAAUUUUUUAAACGGUUCAGGAAUUCCGUGAAUCUUUUCAUAACCUGCACUAUAGUUUCACGCCUAUUAAAGAUCCGGCGGUGCCUGACAAAGCGCAGGGUGAGCGUUCAUAUCUGACAUUUUAAAAUAAUGUUAAUAAAUGUAAUUCUGACCACUAUGGCAAAAUAGGAUUUUAUUUUAGAUUUAGGGGAAUCUUUAACCAAGUCUCUGAUUAAGACAUGUGUAUAUGUGCACAGAUGGUGACAGAGAAACUUAUAUAUGACGUUAAUAAACUUUUAAAUGUUUUUAAGACGUAUUCACCCCAUUUUGGGGGUUUUAUUUUUAAUUAAAGGCUUCUUAAAACAUGUGUGAAUAUGUGUAUAUUAUACAAAGAGUCUUAUAUUGUCUGCUCUGACAAAAAUAAAGUAUUAUUCUAGACUUAGGGGAAUUGACUGCAUGUGUCUUAUAAAUACAACUUGAUAAUACGUUUGUUUUGUAAAGAGACUUCUUUAAAGUCACGCAAGAAUAAAAUAUUUUAGUUGUAACUGGUUAAACUUAAAGCCGAUAUUUUCUAUCGAACUAGUCUAUUUUCUGUACAGACACAAAGUUUUCUGAUGCUGAUAUUAUGUCAGUGUGUGUUUGUGUGGGGGUCGUGUGAUGUAAUCUUUGCAAAGUUUAUGACCGAACCUUUAUUGGUGAGCGACAAGAGAUCCCCCGGAAUCAGUUUGGAUGGAGCAGAGCUGUUAUACUCAAGUCUAUUGCGAAAAUGUCUAAACUGGUAUUAACUAUUCCUGGUAAAUCGCGGAGAAGAGUGCCCUGAACAAAAAAGUCAGACCGAGACUAGAACCUCCCGCAGCGUAACACGGAAAUCUUGGAACAAAAGAGACGCCGUCUGGCUCGUGUUGUCCGGUUUGGAUAUCAGAGGCAAAGCGAACGUUGUGUGUACUAUUGCAAAAUAUAUAGCGGAUCUCCACGGUUAGGAUACAGACCACAACGCUUUGGACGUAUCUUUAAAAAAGAUUAAAAUCAGAGACUUUUUGGAUUUGUCUGGGGACAUUUUAAACAUUUUGUGGCAAAUUGGAUUUAAAACAUUCCGGAUACUGGAUACCUAGUUUGAUUUGUCCACAGAGCUUGUUUAAGACGUUUUCACCACAUUUUAGGGUUUAUUUUUAA